RNAcentral lists this microRNA precursor (77 nucleotides) under Marmota monax (woodchuck). The record is from RNAcentral. Lineage: Eukaryota; Metazoa; Chordata; Mammalia; Rodentia; Sciuridae.
CAUUUAUUUUCCUGACAAACGUGUGUCAAUAAGUUAGUAAGAUUCAUUGGCACAAGUUUGUUGUGAGGGUAAAUGGG